AGUUCGGAUCGCAGGCUGCAACCCGCCUGCGUGAAGUUGGAAUCGCUAGUAAUCGCGGAUCAGCAUGCCGCGGUGAAUACGUUCCCGGGCCUUGUACACACCGCCCGUCACACCAUGAGAGUCGGGAACACCCGAAGUCCGUAGCCUAACCGCAAGGGGGGGCGCGGCCGAAGGUGGGUUCGAUAAUUGGGGUGAAGUCGUAACAAGGUAAC
This 212-nucleotide ribosomal RNA is filed under the name uncultured bacterium. Its description in RNAcentral is "partial 16S ribosomal RNA". It matches the Rfam family "Bacterial small subunit ribosomal RNA", at positions 1290 to 1500 of the family's 1533-position model. The record is from RNAcentral.